GAUGAACGCUAGCGGCAGGCCUAACACAUGCAAGUCGAGGGGUAGCAGGAUUAAGCUUGCUUAAUUGCUGACGACCGGCGCACGGGUGCGUAACGCGUAUGCAACCUACCUUAUACUGGGGUAUAGCCCGGAGAAAUUCGGAUUAAUCCCCCAUAGUACUAAUGAAUCGCAUGGUUUAUUAGUUAAAGGAUUGCGGUAUAAGAUGGGCAUGCGUCCUAUUAGCUAGAUGGUGAGGUAACGGCUCACCAUGGCUACGAUAGGUAGGGGGCCUGAGAGGGUGGGCCCCCACCCUGGUACUGAGACACGGACCAGACUCCGCCGGGAGGCAGCAGUGAGGAAUAUUGGUCAAUGGGCGCAAGCCUGAGCCAGCCAUGCCGCCUGCAGGAAGAAUGCCCUAUGGGUUGUAAACUGCUUUUAUUUGGGAAUAAACCUCUUCACGUGUAGAGAGCUGAAGGUACCAAAUGAAUAAGCACCGGCUAACUCCGUGCCAGCCGCCGCCGUAA
Molecule: ribosomal RNA, 503 nt
Filed under: uncultured bacterium
Lineage: Bacteria
Description: partial 16S ribosomal RNA
Rfam family: Bacterial small subunit ribosomal RNA
Source: RNAcentral